GGUCCGAUGGUGUAGUUGGUUAUCACGUCCGUCUCACAUCACGUCACGUGACUUAUCACGGGAGGUCCUGAGUUCGAAACUCAGUCGGACCA
Molecule: transfer RNA, 92 nt
Filed under: Auricularia subglabra TFB-10046 SS5
Lineage: Eukaryota; Fungi; Basidiomycota; Agaricomycetes; Auriculariales; Auriculariaceae
Description: tRNA-Val
Rfam family: tRNA
About the family: Transfer RNA (tRNA) molecules are approximately 80 nucleotides in length. Their secondary structure includes four short double-helical elements and three loops (D, anti-codon, and T loops).
Source: RNAcentral